RNAcentral lists this long non-coding RNA (199 nucleotides) under Capsicum annuum. Its description in RNAcentral is "long non-coding RNA (CANN_LNC004652)". Lineage: Eukaryota; Viridiplantae; Streptophyta; Magnoliopsida; Solanales; Solanaceae. The record is from RNAcentral.
GACGGACUACUAACAAGAUAUUGUAAAAUAAUUGGACACAAAUACCCAGAUCAUCAAUGUUCAAGAUGUAAUGGAGAAGAUAAUAUUAUUCCAGAAGUACAUCUAGAAUAAAAAUCAAAAAGACAAAAUGCCAGCUGGAAAGAUAAGAUAAGGAGCAAUAAUGGAGAUAUAGCAGAUACGACAACGGAAUCAACGGAAG